RNAcentral lists this ribosomal RNA (408 nucleotides) under Melomastia distoseptata. RNAcentral's name for it is "Dyfrolomyces sp. VVS-2018a partial large subunit ribosomal RNA". It matches the Rfam family "Eukaryotic large subunit ribosomal RNA", at positions 478 to 899 of the family's 3401-position model. The record is from RNAcentral. Lineage: Eukaryota; Fungi; Ascomycota; Dothideomycetes; Pleurotremataceae.
UGCUCCCCGGCGGCCGGGCCCAGCGUGGUUGGGUCGGCCGGACAAGGGCCGCAGGAACGUAGUUCCCCCCGGGGAAUGUUAUAGCCUGCGGUGCGAUGCGGCCAGGCCCGACCGAGGACCGCGCUUCGGCUCGGACGCUGGCGUAAUGGCCGUAAGCGGCCCGUCUUGAAACACGGACCAAGGAGUCUAACAGCCGUGCGAGUGUUUGGGUGUCAAACCCGGGCGCGCAAUGAAAGUGAACGGAGGUGGGAGCCCUUCCGGGCGCACCAUCGACCGAUCCUGAUCUCCUGGGAUGGAUUUGAGUAGGAGCACGGCUGUUGGGACCCGAAAGAUGGUGAACUAUGCCUAAACAGGGCGAAGCCAGAGGAAACUCUGGUGGAGGCUCGCAGCGGUUCUGACGUGCAAAUC